RNAcentral lists this ribosomal RNA (461 nucleotides) under uncultured bacterium. RNAcentral's name for it is "partial 16S ribosomal RNA". It matches the Rfam family "Bacterial small subunit ribosomal RNA", at positions 338 to 795 of the family's 1533-position model. The record is from RNAcentral.
CCUACGGGGGGCAGCAGUGAGGAAUAUUGGUCAAUGGGCUUACGCCUGAACCAGCCAAGUCGCGUGAGGGAAGACUGCCCUAUGGGUUGUAAACCUCUUUUGUCAGGGAGCAAUUGGCGCUACGUGUAGCGUUAUCGAGAGUACCUGAAGAAAAAGCAUCGGCUAACUCCGUGCCAGCAGCCGCGGUAAUACGGAGGAUGCGAGCGUUAUCCGGAUUUACUGGGUGUAAAGGGAGCGUAGACGGUUAUGUAAGUCUGGAGUGAAAGCCCGGGGCCCAACCCCGGGACUGCUUUGGAAACUGUGUAACUGGAGUACAGGAGGGGCAGGCGGAAUUCCUGGUGUAGCGGUGAAAUGCGUAGAUAUCAGGAGGAACACCGGCGGCGAAGGCGGCCUGCUGGACUGAAACUGACGUUGAGGCUCGAAAGCGUGGGGAGCAAACAGGAUUAGAUACCCCAGUAGUC